UGGGGAAUAUUGCAUCAUGGGCGCAAGCCUGAUGCAGCCAUGCCGCGCGUAUGAAGAAGGCCUUCGGGUUGUAACGUACUUUCAGCGGGGAGGAAGGGAGUAAAGUUAAUACCUUUGCUUAUUGACGUUACCCGCAGAAGAAGCACCGGCUAACUCCGUGCCAGCAGCCGCGGUAAUACGGUGGGUGCAAGCGUUAAUCGGAAUUACUGGGCGUAAAGCGCACGCAGGCGGUUUGUUAAGUCAGAUGUGAAAUCCCCGGGCUCAACCUGGGAACUGCAUCUGAUACUGGCAAGCUUGAGUCUCGUAGAGGGGGGUAGAAUUCCAGGUGUAGCGGUGCAAUGCGUAGAGAUCUGGAUGAAUACCGGUGGCGAAGGCGGCCCCCGGGACGAAGACUGACGAUCAGGUGCGAAAGCGUGGGGAGCAAACAGG
Molecule: ribosomal RNA, 429 nt
Filed under: Chloroflexota bacterium
Lineage: Bacteria; Bacillati; Chloroflexota
Description: Chloroflexi bacterium partial 16S ribosomal RNA
Rfam family: Bacterial small subunit ribosomal RNA
Source: RNAcentral